GGCGGAGUAGCAAAGUGGUUACUGCGAUUGACUCGAAGUGGUUUAGUGUGUAGAAUCUAACCACAGCAAUCAAUUGCCUUCGGGCGCGCAGGUUCGAAUCCUGCCUCCGUCG
This 112-nucleotide transfer RNA is filed under the name Hortaea werneckii. RNAcentral describes it as "tRNA-Ser". It matches the Rfam family "tRNA". Rfam says of the family: Transfer RNA (tRNA) molecules are approximately 80 nucleotides in length. Their secondary structure includes four short double-helical elements and three loops (D, anti-codon, and T loops). Further hydrogen bonds mediate the characteristic L-shaped molecular structure. tRNAs have two regions of fundamental functional importance: the anti-codon, which is responsible for specific mRNA codon recognition, and the 3' end, to which the tRNAs corresponding amino acid is attached (by aminoacyl-tRNA synthetases). tRNAs cope with the degeneracy of the genetic code in two manners: having more than one tRNA (with a specific anti-codon) for a particular amino acid; and 'wobble' base-pairing, i.e. permitting non-standard base-pairing at the 3rd anti-codon position. Lineage: Eukaryota; Fungi; Ascomycota; Dothideomycetes; Mycosphaerellales; Teratosphaeriaceae. RNAcentral also lists the same sequence under 1 other name. The record is from RNAcentral.